This 332-nucleotide unclassified non-coding RNA is filed under the name soil metagenome. Its description in RNAcentral is "partial contains 5.8S ribosomal RNA, internal transcribed spacer 2, and large subunit ribosomal RNA". The stretch from base 1 to 120 matches the Rfam family "5.8S ribosomal RNA", at positions 35 to 154 of the family's 154-position model. The record is from RNAcentral.
GAUGAAGAACGUAGCGAAAUGCGAUACGUAAUGUGAAUUGCAGAUUUCAGUGAAUCAUCGAAUCUUUGAACGCACAUUGCGCCCGCUAGUAUUCUGGCGGGCAUGCCUGUUCGAGCGUCAUUUCAACCAUCAAGCCCUAGGCUUGCGUUGGAGCCCUGCGGCUACCGCAGGCUCCCAAAUCCAGUGGCGGGCUCGUCGUCGUACCGAGUGCAGUAAACAUCCUCGCUCAGGGAACGUGACGGGUUCUUGCCGUGAAACCCCCCACAUAUCAAGGUUGACCUCGGAUCAGGUAGGAAUACCCGCUGAACUUAAGCAUAUCAAUAAGCGGAGGA